UAAAACAUUCUUGUACUGUAUGUACAUAGAUUAUCAAAAACACUUAUUAAUAUGACAUUGCACUUGAACGAUUAUCAGCUUUUGGGGUCAGUCACAGUCACAGUCACAGUCACAGUCCCAAUUCCAGUCCAGUCCCCCCUGCCAUGCGCGCUGAUAACAGCUGAUAAAUCCCGGCCAGCUUUCACCCAUCACCAGAGUAGGACUGAUCCAAGUGGGCAACUGUCAACCGUCAAUUCGUCGGCCAUUAUGCAAGCCAA
This 257-nucleotide long non-coding RNA is filed under the name Drosophila guanche. Lineage: Eukaryota; Metazoa; Arthropoda; Insecta; Diptera; Drosophilidae. The record is from RNAcentral.